AUGGCCAUCCGCGAACUGGGAAGAAGGCCCUCACCGAGACUGAUCUGCCAGCACCCUGACCUUGGACCUCCCGGCCUCCAGAACUAUGAGAAGUAAGUGCCUGUUGUUUAUGCCACCCCGUCAGUGGUAGCUUGUUAGGGCAGCCCCAGAUGACUGAGACAGCGUGACAGUUACAAUUCUUAGUUGCAAACAACAGAAUCCAUUCUUGUUCGUUUAAGGGGGAGAAGGGGGGAGUUUAGUCAAGACCAUUAAAGAGUGCACAGAUGUCCAGGAGAGCUGGACUCUGAAGCCUUUCGCCGUAAAGCGCCCAACCACACGAAGGGGUUUCUUAGAGAGGACCCCACGGCCACUCGGCACAUAGGACCCUCAGCAGCAGAAACCAGAAGCUCAAUCCCUCCUCUGCCCUCAGGAAUCAAAUCCCUGCCACUCCGUGUUGCCCCCCUGGUGGGGGCGCGGCCUCAAACCAAGUCUCAUGCGGACACGUCACAUACAGAGUGCCGCACAGGCAUCUAGAGAUGCGAGGGUCCUGGCUUCUCCCUUCGGGACGCGGGAUUUGGGAUGCAAGAGUUAUCCCGAGUGUCAGGAGGAUAUGCAGAGAUGUGCCCCCAGUCGGAUUCAUCAGCAAGUGACGAUCCUGAGUCCCACCGAGUCUACCCCCUUAGCCUUCCGGGGCCGUGGCCACCCCUCCCACCGGAACAGAAAAAGGACGUUGGUAGAAAAGCUGCAAGAAAUCCAAAGAGCAUCUGAAAUCUGGACCUGUCGGGCACCGGGCUCUGCUCCUGUGUUUGCAAGCAAGGCUCAGAGAGGAAGAGGUUACUGAGAUCACAGAGCUGAAAGGGGGAAUUUGGACAAAAACACACGCGGGGACCACGCCAUGUGAACAUGAAAGCAGAGCGCUGGAAGCCAAGAAACACCAAAGAUGACCAGCAAAGCCCCAGGAUCUAGGACACAGGCCUGGAACAGGUUUGCCCUCACAGCCUCGGAAAGAACUUUGAUCAGACUUCUGGUCUCCAGAACUGUGAGACAAUAAAUUUCUGUGGUCGAAGCCA
Molecule: long non-coding RNA, 1049 nt
Organism: Neofelis nebulosa (Clouded leopard)
Lineage: Eukaryota; Metazoa; Chordata; Mammalia; Carnivora; Felidae
Exons: 4
Source: RefSeq, a predicted model, not a curated record